UUUUGCUUUUUUCAUACUCUGUUUCUUGAAGUACAGAGAUGUAAACAUGCACCUAUACCACAGUAAAUGUAACAUCCUUGCAUGAGGUCAGUGGUCAGGAGAGUACUCCACUGCUGUAGACUGUAAAUGGGUAUGUGUGGAAUUUUCCUUACUCCAGAGCCAGAGAUAUCUUCUGUGGUGUGUCUGGAGAGAGGGCACUGAAUACCGAACACCAGGAUCAUUGGUGAAGAGGUAGACUGCACUGAGGAAAGUGUAUUAAUAGGUGACAGAACGUAUGUCACACAAUAUCUAAGAAAGCCUCUGUCUAGAAGACUACAACCUAAUAAAGAGUGUCUGGAAGCAAUAAUAAGUACAAAAGGAGACAAAAUUUGAGAACCACUUUGAUGUUACUACGAGCAACCUUCCUUUGUGGGGCUGAUGUCCAAGUCCUGAACUGUCCGUGGACUCUGUGUCAGUGAUUGUAUACUGUCAUUUGGGAUGAAGGGAGCAUGCUGGGAGCUGGAGCAAUCUAAGAUCUAAUAGCUCUUCAGCUGAUAAUCAGCCCCUAAAACUGUCAACAAACGGAGUCAAAGAGGAAUUUUAAUUAAACAUAAUUAAAAACUCA
Molecule: long non-coding RNA, 604 nt
Filed under: Anser brachyrhynchus (Pink-footed goose)
Lineage: Eukaryota; Metazoa; Chordata; Aves; Anseriformes; Anatidae
Description: lncRNA (ENSABRG00000016414.1)
Source: RNAcentral